GCAUGUAUCACUCCGCCUCAGCCAGGUGUUCUGAAUACACUUCAUUAACAUAACAGAAGCAGGUCUUAUCAGGACUGAUCAACAGACCUCUGAAUCCCACAGACCAACACAGCACCUGCCAACAGCCCCUCAUCUGCCAUCCGAUACAUCAGCUAUGGAGCAUCAUUUUCACUCAAUCUCUUUCCAUCUCUUCCCUUAUUCUCCUCUCUGUCUCUGCUGUAUCUGUGCCAGGAGUGAUAACCUGUCAUACACAGGAAGCAAAACGAGAUGGAAAGGGGUUGACCUGGUGAUGGACAGCAAGGGUCAGAGUGUGUGUUGUGUUUGUUGGUCAUGAUCUAAGUGCUGACAGCCCCCCUCCAGCCACCCAGCACCUAAACACACAGCUCCACUAGUGGAAAUAGAAUGGCCUGAACCUGCCAACAGCAACAACAGAUCUUGUUCCCAUGGCUUUGAUGGAAAACUGAGUCACCCCUUUAUUAUGGAACACAUCCCCUUGUACUCUGUCUCUUCAAACAUAAAAGCAUGUUAGUAGAAUCAUCUAUCAGAAUGCUUGAUAUUGUAAUAUUAAAGCAUUUUGAUACUCUCA
Molecule: long non-coding RNA, 586 nt
Organism: Notolabrus celidotus (New Zealand spotty)
Lineage: Eukaryota; Metazoa; Chordata; Actinopteri; Labriformes; Labridae
Exons: 4
Source: RefSeq, a predicted model, not a curated record